GCCCUCCAGUUCCUCACCCAUCAUAGAUCAAAACAUCGGUCUGAGUGUCCAUAAAAGGAGGAAAAGUGUGGAACUGGACUUAGAUUCUUUUAUUAAAAAAUGC
This 103-nucleotide small nucleolar RNA is filed under the name Echinops telfairi (small Madagascar hedgehog). Its description in RNAcentral is "Small nucleolar RNA SNORA61 (ENSETEG00000025373.1)". The record is from RNAcentral. Lineage: Eukaryota; Metazoa; Chordata; Mammalia; Afrosoricida; Tenrecidae.